UAGUCCACGCUGUAAACGAUGAUUACUCGCUGUUGGCGAUACACUGUCAGUGGCUGAGCGAAGGCAUUAAGUAAUCCACCUGGGGAGUACGGUCGCAAGAUUGAAACUCAAAGGAAUUGACGGGGGCCCGCACAAGCGGUGGAGCAUGUGGUUUAAUUCGAUGAUACGCGAGGAACCUUACCAGGGCUUAAAUGUUGAUUGACAGAUUUGGAAACAGAUUUUUCUUCGGACAAUUAACAAGGUGCUGCAUGGUUGUCGUCAGCUCGUGCUGUGAAGUGUCGGGUUAAGUCCCAUAACGAGCGCAACCCCUAUUCUUAGUUGCCAGCGAGUAAUGUCGGGGACUCUAAGAAAACUGCCAGCGCAAGCUGAGAGGAAGGUGGGGAUGACGUCAAAUCAUCACGGCCCUUACGUCCUGGGCUACACACGUGCUACAAGGGUGCAUACAGAGGGCAGCUACCUGGUGACAGGAUGCGAAUCUCGAGAGUGC
This 487-nucleotide ribosomal RNA is filed under the name uncultured bacterium. RNAcentral's name for it is "bacterial SSU rRNA". It matches the Rfam family "Bacterial small subunit ribosomal RNA", at positions 791 to 1284 of the family's 1533-position model. The record is from RNAcentral.